Molecule: small nucleolar RNA, 129 nt
Organism: Kogia breviceps (pygmy sperm whale)
Lineage: Eukaryota; Metazoa; Chordata; Mammalia; Artiodactyla; Physeteridae
Product: small nucleolar RNA SNORA72
Exons: 1
Source: RefSeq, a predicted model, not a curated record
CUGCAAAUAUUCUUGCCAUUCUGAUUUAAUAGUCAGAGCAGGCUAAGAAUUUGCUACACUAAGACCAUGCAUGUGUCCCCAGACCUAGUUCUUUCCCUAGGUCUGGUUUUAUAAAUGCUGGUGAUAAAU